This 485-nucleotide ribosomal RNA is filed under the name uncultured bacterium. RNAcentral's name for it is "partial 16S ribosomal RNA". It matches the Rfam family "Bacterial small subunit ribosomal RNA", at positions 899 to 1397 of the family's 1533-position model. The record is from RNAcentral.
ACUCAAAUGAAUAGACGGGGAGGCGCACAAGCAGUGGAGCGUGUUGUUUAAUUCGUGACAAAGCGAAAAACCUCACCAGGACUUGACAUGUAUCUGCAAGGACCAGGAAACUGGACCCGCUUUCGAAGGUGAUACACAGAUGCUGCAUGGUCGUCGUCAGCUCGUGGCGUGAGCUGUACCGUUCAGUCGGGAAACGAGCGCAACCCGCACCGUAUGUUAAAUAUUCAUGCGGAACAGCCCCAUUUAUAUGGGGAGGAAGGCGCGGAUGAUGUCAGAUCAGCACGGCUCUUACGUCCUGGGCUACAAACACCCUACAAUGGCGAAAAACAACGAGUUGCUAAUCCGCGAGGAGGAGCUAAUCUCUGAAAUUUCGUCCCAGUUCGGAUCGGAGUCUGCAAUUCGACUCCGUGAAGUUGGAAUUGCUAGUAAUCGCAAAUCAGCAGGUUGCGGUGAAUACGUUCUCGCCUCUUGUACACACCGCCCGU